Molecule: ribosomal RNA, 566 nt
Filed under: Salmonella enterica
Lineage: Bacteria; Pseudomonadati; Pseudomonadota; Gammaproteobacteria; Enterobacterales; Enterobacteriaceae
Also listed under: 1 other name
Description: partial 23S ribosomal RNA
Rfam family: Bacterial large subunit ribosomal RNA
Source: RNAcentral
CAGUGUCUGGUGGGUAGUUUGACUGGGGCGGUCUCCUCCUAAAGAGUAACGGAGGAGCACGAAGGUUGGCUAAUCCUGGUCGGACAUCAGGAGGUUAGUGCAAUGGCAUAAGCCAGCUUGACUGCGAGCGUGACGGCGCGAGCAGGUGCGAAAGCAGGUCAUAGUGAUCCGGUGGUUCUGAAUGGAAGGGCCAUCGCUCAACGGAUAAAAGGUACUCCGGGGAUAACAGGCUGAUACCGCCCAAGAGUUCAUAUCGACGGCGGUGUUUGGCACCUCGAUGUCGGCUCAUCACAUCCUGGGGCUGAAGUAGGUCCCAAGGGUAUGGCUGUUCGCCAUUUAAAGUGGUACGCGAGCUGGGUUUAGAACGUCGUGAGACAGUUCGGUCCCUAUCUGCCGUGGGCGCUGGAGAACUGAGGGGGGCUGCUCCUAGUACGAGAGGACCGGAGUGGACGCAUCACUGGUGUUCGGGUUGUCAUGCCAAUGGCACUGCCCGGUAGCUAAAUGCGGAAGAGAUAAGUGCUGAAAGCAUCUAAGCACGAAACUUGCCCCGAGAUGAGUUCUCCCUG